This 207-nucleotide ribosomal RNA is filed under the name uncultured bacterium. RNAcentral's name for it is "partial 16S ribosomal RNA". It matches the Rfam family "Bacterial small subunit ribosomal RNA", at positions 568 to 774 of the family's 1533-position model. The record is from RNAcentral.
CGCGUAGGCGGCCUGGUAAGUCUGGAGUGAAAGUCCUGCUUUUAAGGUGGGAAUUGCUUUGGAUACUGCUGGGCUUGAGUGCAGGAGAGGUAAGUGGAAUUCCCGGUGUAGCGGUGAAAUGCGUAGAGAUCGGGAGGAACACCAGUGGCGAAGGCGACUUACUGGACUGUAAUUGACGCUGAGGCGCGAAAGUGUGGGGAGCAAACA